UACGUAGGUGGCAAGCGUUAUCCGGAAUUAUUGGGCGUAAAGCGCGCGCAGGCGGUCCUUUAAGUCUGAUGUGAAAGCCCACGGCUCAACCGUGGAGGGUCAUUGGAAACUGGGGGACUUGAGUGCAGAAGAGGAGAGCGGAAUUCCACGUGUAGCGGUGAAAUGCGUAGAGAUGUGGAGGAACACCAGUGGCGAAGGCGGCUCUCUGGUCUGUAACUGACGCUGAGGCGCGAAAGCGUGGGGAGCGAACAGG
This 253-nucleotide ribosomal RNA is filed under the name uncultured bacterium. Its description in RNAcentral is "partial 16S ribosomal RNA". It matches the Rfam family "Bacterial small subunit ribosomal RNA", at positions 524 to 776 of the family's 1533-position model. The record is from RNAcentral.